AGUCACUAGCAAAAGAUAUUCGAAGGACGAACAAGCUUCUUGGUUGUUCAUUAGCAAUAAUUAGGUGGGGUGUGAUGAACCAUCCUUAAUUUCAUUUUUAUUUUCUCUCCGAAGCUGUGAAAUGAUGAAAAUAUCCUUGUUCGGCUAAUUAGAAUCCUACUUCAGGGGAACGGUAAUCAUCCCAUUGACAACACUACUGUCUAUCGAUCAACUCCCUCUCUAUCUCUCUCACACUCUUCUUCUUCCUUCUGCAACUCAGAGAAAAAUGACAUCAUGCUCGACGAAUCGAACCUCCAAACCAUCACCAUCAUGAUCCACUCAUCAAACCCAGCACGAUUGCGCCUUUCGUUUCCCGAACUCAGCCAGAAAUUAGAGAACUACGAACUCUAUUCAAAACUUUUCCGCGACCUUUCCGUCAAUUCAGAUGGCGUCAGACCACGAUCUUGGUCCUGAUCGACUCAUUGUCAAAGCAGAGAAAGCCGAUGACUUUUCCGACCCUUUCCAUCGAGUUGGGCGAGUUGGAGGAAGACAUUCUAAUCACCAUCAUCCCUAGACUAUGUUUCAAGCAACUUGAGCUCCGAUCUACUUCGGGAUCAAAGAAUCCCACAACUUUUGAUUCGGGCCGAAAUUUACAGGCCACUUUUUGGACUUGCAAUUAGAAUCCGUCGGCGAAGUAGACUACGGCGCCAGAGCCCGAAGGAAAGAAGAGGACGAUCAAAUAUCCUGUCACAGUGACGGAAUAUUCCCUAACACCGGCUGCAUUUUCCGUUAACGACAUGUAUAUCCUGCGAUGAAAUAUUCCACUCCAGCGUGUGACGGCGCCAGCUAGCAUGUGCUAGCGCGUGACGGCUCCCAUCGGCUUUCGGCCAACGUGUGGCGACGCGGGGUGGCUCUCGAGCUUUGUUUUUAACACUUUCAAUCCCCGUUUUGAGCAAACAAAGAGAAUUUUGAGUCUUUUUCUUAGUAUUUACAAAUUUUGGGUUGUUUAAUAAUUAGUGUUGUGGUUUUCCAUAUAAAAGAGACUUACCCUGAGGAGUUCACAGGCCAAGCAAGUAUGCUAUUUUGGAAAUCAUAUGGGUUUUACAUCAAGGGGUUAGUAUUCUACGAAAAACAAAAGUUUUAUUAAACCCUUGCUUUUGUUUACUUACACUUACUGUUUUGCACCCUUUCAAUUCCUAUUUUUGCGACGAGCGAGGGAUCUUUGGUGGCUCUAGCAUCUACUCCAGUUGAUGUAGGAAUUUUCAAUCCUAUGGUUGUGUAAUAUCAUCCUAAUCAGGAUGAGAAUAUUCCUACUUUCACUGCAUUAUUAGUUGUGUUUUGACAAUUGCAUACUUUGUAAUAUAUGUUUUAAUUUACUCGUACUGUCCACACAUCAUUCCCAUUUUAUGACUUUGUCACCUUUUAGAUGUCGGUCAUCACGCCUUGAAUUCGGUGUCCACUUGGAUAUUCAAGUCUGGAUGUGGCAUGAAGAGACUCAAAGUGGCAUUAAGAGACUCAAAGUCAAUUGUGGUUGAAUGAAUGGAAGUGAGACAUGAGACUUUUGUGAUUUGGAUGAUUCAGGUAGUGUGGCUUAAGAGGAAAUUGAAGAUAAAUACGACAAAUUGGAGGGCAACUGAUUGCGAUAGUGGGACUGGUAAGUCAGUAAGGUAAUAUCAUGAGAUCGAAGGAAACGGAAACUCCAACAAAAUCUUAAGGGUGGAGGCAAGAUUUGAUAUGACUUAAUUUACCCUAUAAAUUCCUAUGUAAUCCUUUAUUUUUAAAAAUCCUUUCAAAUCAAUGGUAUUUUGAAUACAACUGGACUUCUAUAAAUUCAUUUCAAAUCCUAGCUAAAUACUUUAUACUUCAAGAAAUUCCUUUAAAAUUCUGAUUGAGUAUCCUAGGGGUCGAUGCAUAUGUACUCGGGUGGUUUCGGAACUACCUAGAAGUUCAAAGAAGUGCAUGUGAGGACCUUUGAGGACCAUCCAAAAGUCUGGGCAGGUGAUGGCAGAGAGAAGACCACCAUGACUGUGCAAAUGCUGUGCAGCAUAAGCUUUGACCAAGAAGAAAUAUCUAAUUUCAAAUGAAGAGGAACACAGAAAAGACCACUAUAACUCUGUUGCUCUUGGACCUUGGUUCCAACGAAGAAGGACUUUAGCUUUCCAUUUCUCACGUGACCAGCUCCCACUUUUUAAAUUGUUGAUCAAUCAGAUUGUGCCAACUAGCAUUUUAAUUAAUAAAAGAAUGGUGUAUUACUUAA
Long non-coding RNA from Pyrus x bretschneideri (Chinese white pear), 2236 nucleotides. RefSeq lists it as uncharacterized. The transcript is spliced from 5 exons. Lineage: Eukaryota; Viridiplantae; Streptophyta; Magnoliopsida; Rosales; Rosaceae. The record is from RefSeq and is a predicted model, not a curated record.